This 581-nucleotide ribosomal RNA is filed under the name uncultured Serratia sp. RNAcentral describes it as "bacterial SSU rRNA". It matches the Rfam family "Bacterial small subunit ribosomal RNA", at positions 102 to 679 of the family's 1533-position model. The record is from RNAcentral. Lineage: Bacteria; Pseudomonadati; Pseudomonadota; Gammaproteobacteria; Enterobacterales; Yersiniaceae.
ACGGGUGAGUAAUGUCUGGGAAACUGCCUGAUGGAGGGGGAUAACUACUGGAAACGGUAGCUAAUACCGCAUAACGUCGCAAGACCAAAGAGGGGGACCUUCGGGCCUCUUGCCAUCAGAUGUGCCCAGAUGGGAUUAGCUAGUAGGUGGGGUAAUGGCUCACCUAGGCGACGAUCCCUAGCUGGUCUGAGAGGAUGACCAGCCACACUGGAACUGAGACACGGUCCAGACUCCUACGGGAGGCAGCAGUGGGGAAUAUUGCACAAUGGGCGCAAGCCUGAUGCAGCCAUGCCGCGUGUGUGAAGAAGGCCUUCGGGUUGUAAAGCACUUUCAGCGAGGAGGAAGGUGGUGAACUUAAUACGUUCAUCAAUUGACGUUACUCGCAGAAGAAGCACCGGCUAACUCCGUGCCAGCAGCCGCGGUAAUACGGAGGGUGCAAGCGUUAAUCGGAAUUACUGGGCGUAAAGCGCACGCAGGCGGUUUGUUAAGUCAGAUGUGAAAUCCCCGGGCUCAACCUGGGAACUACAUUUGAAACUGGCAAGCCAGAGUCUCGUAGAGGGGGGUAGAAUUCCAGGUGUAGC